GCGCUCGCUUCGGCAGCACAUAGACUAAAAUUGGAACGAUACAGAGAAGAUUAGUAUGGCCCCUGCGCAAGGAUGACAUGCAAAUUCGUGAAGCAUCCCAUAUUUUU
RNAcentral lists this small nuclear RNA (107 nucleotides) under Mus spretus (western wild mouse). The record is from RNAcentral. Lineage: Eukaryota; Metazoa; Chordata; Mammalia; Rodentia; Muridae.